This 440-nucleotide ribosomal RNA is filed under the name uncultured bacterium. RNAcentral's name for it is "partial 16S ribosomal RNA". It matches the Rfam family "Bacterial small subunit ribosomal RNA", at positions 338 to 795 of the family's 1533-position model. The record is from RNAcentral.
CCUACGGGUGGCAGCAGUGGGGAAUAUUGCACAAUGGGGGAAACCCUGAUGCAGCGACGCCGCGUGAGCGAUGAAGUAUUUCGGUAUGUAAAGCUCUAUCAGCAGGGAAGAAAAUGACGGUACCUGACUAAGAAGCCCCGGCUAACUACGUGCCAGCAGCCGCGGUAAUACGUAGGGGGCAAGCGUUAUCCGGAUUUACUGGGUGUGAAGGGUGCGUAGGCGGAAUGACAAGUCUGAUGUGAAAAUCCGGGGCUCAACCCCGGUACUGCAUUGGAAACGGUCAGGCUAGAGUGUCGGAGAGGCAAGUGGAAUGCGUAGUGUAGCGGUGAAAUGCGUAGAUAUUACGAGGAACUCCGGUGGCGAAGGCAGCUUACUGGACGAUGACUGACGUUGAGGCUCGAAAGCGUGGGGAGCGAACAGGAUUAGAUACCCGGGUAGUC